Molecule: long non-coding RNA, 1557 nt
Organism: Vidua chalybeata
Lineage: Eukaryota; Metazoa; Chordata; Aves; Passeriformes; Viduidae
Exons: 3
Source: RefSeq, a predicted model, not a curated record
UCUAUGACUCCAUGAUUCCACGGGUCUUUCUAUAAUUCUGCUGUUCUAUGACUCCACGAUCCCAUGGUUCUGUGAUUCUAUGAUCCCAUAUUUCUAUGACUCUGUGAUUCUGCGAUUCCUGGCCUUGGAACGCCGUCCCUGAAGAGAAACACGACAAACUCACAUUUAUCAGCAGCAGAGGGCGUCCAACGCACGCGUGUCCCUAAAUCCCGAGCUCCAACUGCAAAUCCGACGGCGGCCAAAAUUACUCGGAGCGCGGCCGAUACUUCCCCGCCAAUUGUGCCGCUGCCUCAGGUUUCCUUCCCUGCUCCGUGCUCGGUGCCAUACGGGAGGUGCAGACCCGAUUGUUCGCCCUGUGGCCCCCGCAGACAGGAUACGAGCCCAGUGCCAGGCAUUGAGGGAAGAUUCCACAGAGAUUUCACAGAGGAGGAAGGGACUGCACACAUGGAGACAGGGUGGUCUUUUGCUAGGUUUCCCCACUUGGAAGAUCCAAAUGCAACACCUGUUUUUCUGGAAAAGGUCUGGGAGUUACUGCAGCUGUAAUACCAUUCCUGAAAAAAUACAGCUCUCUGCCAGUUGAGAUGAACUACUGGGAUGCACUAAUGGGAUGCACUACUCAGUAAAGGAGAAAUUUCUCUCUCAGUGAGUCUCCAAUUCACUUUGUGAGUACCUGUUCAGAGAAACUGUGGCUGCCCCAUCCCUGGAAGAAUCCAGGGCCAGAUUGGAUGGGGCUUGGAGCAACCUGGGGUAGUGAAAGAUGUCCCUGCUCAUGGCAGGGGGUGGAACUGGAUGAACUUUGAGGUCCCUUCCCACUGAAACCAUUAAAGGAUUUUAUUACUUUAUCCUUUCUCUCCUUGAUGCUCAGGGCAGGGUUCACCUCACUUUACAGACAGCUCCAGUUUAUGGGCACGGGAAGCCAGGGCACCUGCAGGUGUCCCCAGGUGAACUUCCUGUUAAACACCAGCUACGGGGGCAGGGGUGACUCACCUGUCCUUACACAGGUAGCGAGUGCCACUUGAGGUGCUCUCUGGCUCCUGAGCUGCCACAUGCAGAGGGCAAACCCAUCCUGUCAGUGGAGACUGGGCAAAUAUUCAGGAGAGCCUGCUGUGCAUGACAAAACAGCUGCCACUUGUACACGUGGCACCAAUUUAAUCCAAAUUCAUUCAUCCCUGGUAAAUUGAAUUGCAGCUUUUGGUGCUGAGGGGAGUCCAGAAUUGAAGGGAUGUGGGAGGGCUGAACGUAUUUGUGGAUGUAAGGAAGUGAUGGAAUGCUGGCAAGGAUGUCCAAGGGCUGCAGGGAUUUGUACAGACCUGAGGUUACACAUACCCUUACAUCUGGUAAGGAUGAGGAUUGCUUUGCUCUUUCCUUGCUGUGUCCACCUGUGAUUGGGUGACUCCAGCAGGGUGACAGGGUCUCCAGGAAGGCAUGGUGAAGCUUCAGUUCAUCAUCCAUCAACAUUCACCCAGCAUUUCCCAAACUGGGAGACAAUUCCUUAGUCUUUAGAUGAGAUUUCCAUUGUCUUUGUAGUGGCCUUUCUCUCCUCCUCUUCAUUGCCAC